Molecule: ribosomal RNA, 497 nt
Filed under: uncultured bacterium
Lineage: Bacteria
Description: partial 16S ribosomal RNA
Rfam family: Bacterial small subunit ribosomal RNA
Source: RNAcentral
GAUGAACGCUGGCGGCGUGCCUAAUACAUGCGAGUCGAGCGAACGGACGAGAAGCUUGCUUCUCUGAUGUUAGCGGCGGACGGGUGAGUAACACGUGGAUAACCUACCUAUAAGACUGGGAUAACUUCGGGAAACCGGAGCUAAUACCGGAUGAUAUUUUGAACCGCAUGGUUCAAAAGUGAAAGACGGUCUUGCUGUCACUUAUAGAUGGAUCCGCGCUGCAUUAGCUAGUUGGUAAGGUAACGGCUUACCAAGGCAACGAUGCAUAGCCGACCUGAGAGGGUGAUCGGCCACACUGGAACUGAGACACGGUCCAGACUCCUACGGGAGGCAGCAGUAGGGAAUCUUCCGCAAUGGGCGAAAGCCUGACGGAGCAACGCCGCGUGAGUGAUGAAGGUCUUCGGAUCGUAAAACUCUGUUAUUAGGGAAGAACAUAUGUGUAAGUAACUGUGCACAUCUUGACGGUACCUAAUCAGAAAGCCACGGAUAACUACGUG